ACAAACUUGGUCAUUUAGAGGAAGUAAAAGUCGUAACAAGGUUUCCGUAGGUGAACCUGCGGAAGGAUCAUUAAUGAAUUUGAGGACGUUCUUUUUAGAAGUCCGCAUCUCAUUUCCUUACACCGUGCAAAAACUAUUUUUUACACUUUUAUAACACUACAGUAUAAGAAUGUCAUAGUCUCUUAAUUGAGCAUAAAUAAAUAAAACUUUCAGCAACGGAUCUCUUGGCUCUCGCAUCGAUGAAGAACGCAGC
Molecule: unclassified non-coding RNA, 253 nt
Filed under: uncultured fungus
Lineage: Eukaryota; Fungi
Description: partial contains small subunit ribosomal RNA, internal transcribed spacer 1, and 5.8S ribosomal RNA
Rfam family: Eukaryotic small subunit ribosomal RNA (bases 1-73)
Source: RNAcentral